CGGCUUCGCCAGUCUCCCGGGAAAUCCAGCGGCUUAACCGUUGGGCGCCCGUGGGAUACUGCGUUGCUUGGGACCGGGAGAGGUAGGAGGUACUCGAGGGGUAGGGGUGAAAUCCUGUAAUCCUUCGGGGACCACCGGUGGCGAAGGCGUCCUACCAGAACGGGUCCGACGGUGAGGGACGAAAGCUAGGGGCACGAACCGGAUUAGAUACCCGGGUAGUCCUAGCCGUAAACGAUGCCCGCUAGGUGUCACGUCGGUCGUGAAUCGCCGAGGUGCCGUAGGGAAGCCGCGAAGCGGGCCACUUGGGAAGUACGGCCGCAAGGCUGAAACUUAAAGGAAUUGGCGGGGGAGCACCACUAACGGGUGGAGCCUGCGGUUUUAAUUGGAUUCUACGCCGGGAAGCUUACCGAGAUCGACAGUUGGAUGAAGGCUAUUGCUGAAGACCUUGCCAGACUAGCUGACAGGAGGUGCUUGGCCGUCGUCAGUUCGUACCGUAGAGGCGUUCGGGUUGAGUCACGCACCAUGCGAGUCUCUGUCCCACCUGCUGCUCCCUGUUCCGUGUGGAUGGCGAGUAUCUGUGGAGUACGGCUGGCGCCAACCCUGACGACGCAAUUG
This 615-nucleotide ribosomal RNA is filed under the name uncultured archaeon. Its description in RNAcentral is "bacterial SSU rRNA". It matches the Rfam family "Archaeal small subunit ribosomal RNA", at positions 526 to 1134 of the family's 1478-position model. The record is from RNAcentral.